AAUGAACGCUAGCGAUAGGCUUAACACAUGCAAGUCGAGGGGCAGCAUGGUCUUAGCUUGCUAAGACUGAUGGCGACCGGCGCACGAGUGCUUAACGCGUAUCCAACUUUCCUCACAGAGGUGGAUAACCCGUCGCAAGACUGACUAAUACCGCGUACACUUGGGAUAGGGCAUCCUGACCCAAGCACAUUCAAUUCACUGUAAGAUAGGCAUGCGUCCCAUUAGCUAGUUGGUGAGGUAACGGCUCACCAAGGCGACGAUGGGUAGGGGAACUGAGAGGUUGAACCCCCGCACUGGUACUGAGACACGGACCAGACUGCGACGGGAGGCAGCAGUGAGUAAUAUUGGUCAAUGGGCGAGAGCCUGAACCAGCCAAGUCGCGUGAAGGAUGACUGGCUUAUGGAUUGUAAACUUCUUUGAUACGGGAAUAACAAGAGUAACGUGUGGCUCCUUGCAUGUACCGUAUGAAUAAGCAUCGGCUAACUCCGUG
RNAcentral lists this ribosomal RNA (490 nucleotides) under uncultured bacterium. Its description in RNAcentral is "partial 16S ribosomal RNA". It matches the Rfam family "Bacterial small subunit ribosomal RNA", at positions 29 to 507 of the family's 1533-position model. The record is from RNAcentral.